AUUGAACGCUGGCGGCAGGCCUAACACAUGCAAGUCGAACGAGUGGCGGACGGGUUAGUAAUGUCUGGGAAACUGCCUGAUGGAGGGGGCUAACUACUGGAAACGGUAGCUAAUACCGCAUACAAUCAGAUGUGCCCAGAUGGGAUUAGCUUGUUGGUGUGGUAACGGCUCACCAAGGCGACGAUCCCUCGCUGGUCUGAGAGGAUGACCAACAAUACGGGAACUGAGCAACGGUCCAGACUCCUACGGGAGGCAGCAGUGGGGAAUAUUGCACAAUGGGCGCAAGCCUGAUGCAGCCAUGCCGCGUGUAUGAAGAAGGCCUUCGGGUUGUAAAGUACUUUCAGCUGGGAGGCGUUACCCGCAGAAGAAGCACCGGCUAACUCCGUGCCAGCAGCCGCGGUAAUAC
Molecule: ribosomal RNA, 406 nt
Filed under: uncultured bacterium
Lineage: Bacteria
Description: partial 16S ribosomal RNA
Rfam family: Bacterial small subunit ribosomal RNA
Source: RNAcentral